CCUACGGGGUGCAGCAGUGGGGAAUAUUGGACAAUGGGGGGAACCCUGAUCCAGCGACGCCGCGUGAGUGAAGAAGUAUUUCGGUAUGUAAAGCUCUAUCAGCAGGGAAGAAAGAAAUGACGGUACCUGACUAAGAAGCCCCGGCUAACUACGUGCCAGCAGCCGCGGUAAUACGUAGGGGGCAAGCGUUAUCCGGAUUUACUGGGUGUAAAGGGAGCGUAGACGGUUACGCAAGUCUGGAGUGAAAGGCGGGGGCCCAACCCCCGGACUGCUUUGGAAACUGUAUAACUGGAGUGCAGGAGAGGUAAGUGGAAUUCCUAGUGUAGCGGUGAAAUGCGUAGAUAUUAGGAGGAACACCGGCGGCGAAGGCGGCCUGCUGGACCGCGACUGACGUUGAGGCUCGAAAGCGUGGGGAGCGAACAGGAUUAGAUACCCUUGUAGUC
RNAcentral lists this ribosomal RNA (443 nucleotides) under uncultured bacterium. Its description in RNAcentral is "partial 16S ribosomal RNA". It matches the Rfam family "Bacterial small subunit ribosomal RNA", at positions 338 to 795 of the family's 1533-position model. The record is from RNAcentral.